Molecule: unclassified non-coding RNA, 337 nt
Filed under: soil metagenome
Description: partial contains 5.8S ribosomal RNA, internal transcribed spacer 2, and large subunit ribosomal RNA
Rfam family: 5.8S ribosomal RNA (bases 1-120)
Source: RNAcentral
GAUGAAGAACGUAGCGAAAUGCGAUAAGUAGUGUGAAUUGCAGAAUUCAGUGAAUCAUCGAAUCUUUGAACGCACAUUGCGCCCCUUGGUAUUCCAUGGGGCAUGCCUGUUCGAGCGUCAUUUGUACCUUCAAGCUCUGCUUGGUGUUGGGUGUUUGUCUCGCCUCUGCGUGUAGACUCGCCUCAAAACAAUUGGCAGCCGGCGUAUUGAUUUCGGAGCGCAGUACAUCUCGCGCUUUGCACUCAUAACGACGACGUCCAAAAGUACAUUUUUACACUCUUGACCUCGGAUCAGGUAGGGAUACCCGCUGAACUUAAGCAUAUCAAUAAACGGAGGA